AUUUCUUGUUAGAUUGUUGUUUCAUAAAAUUAUUCUUAUUCCCUAUACCAAAAGUAUCAAACACUUAACUAUAUAAUACCUAAAACCAUUUGGAAGUAACAAUAAAAUACGUUUAUCACUUAUAUUUUCAUUGGAUAUUAAAAUAACACAGAUAAUGAAUAUGUAAAACA
Long non-coding RNA from Melitaea cinxia (Glanville fritillary), 170 nucleotides. RefSeq lists it as uncharacterized. The transcript is spliced from 3 exons. NCBI's taxonomy places the organism in Eukaryota, Metazoa, Arthropoda, Insecta, Lepidoptera, Nymphalidae. The record is from RefSeq and is a predicted model, not a curated record.